CAGUCGCCACGGUAAUACAGAGGGUGCAAGCGUUAAUCGGAAUUACUGGGCGUAAAGCGCGCGUAGGUGGUUCGCCAAGUUGGAUGUGAAAUCCCCGGGCUCAACCUGGGAACUGCAUUCAAAACUGACGAGCUAGAGUAUGGUAGAGGGUGGUGGAAUUUCCUGUGUAGCGGUGAAAUGCGUAGAUAUAGGAAGGAACACCAGUGGCGAAGGCGACCACCUGGACUGAUACUGACACUGAGGUGCGAAAGCGUGGGGAGCAAACAGGAUUAGAUACCCGAGUAGUCCCUGUCUCUUAUAC
Molecule: ribosomal RNA, 301 nt
Filed under: uncultured bacterium
Lineage: Bacteria
Description: partial 16S ribosomal RNA
Rfam family: Bacterial small subunit ribosomal RNA
Source: RNAcentral